GACGAACGCUGGCGGCGUGCUUAACACAUGCAAGUCGAACGGAAAGGCCCCUUUGGGGGUCCUCGAGUGGCGAACGGGUGCGUAACACGUGCGUAACCUGCCCUUGACUUCGGGAUAACUUCAGGAAACUGGGGCUAAUACCGGAUAGGAAUCCUUGCUGCAUGGUGGGGGUUGGAAAGCUUCGGCGGUUUUUGAUGGACUCGCGGCUUAUCAGCUUGUUGGUGGGGUAGUGGCUUACCAAGGCUUUGACGGGUAGCCGGCCUGAGAGGGCGACCGGCCACAUUGGGACUGAGAUACGGCCCAGACUCGUACGGGAGGCAGCGGAGGAGAAUAUUGCACAGUGGGCGGAAGCCUGAGGCGGCGACGCCGCGUGCGGGAUGACGGCCUUCGGGUUGUAAACCGCGUUCAGCAGGGGCGAAGCUUGUGGUGACGGUACCUGCAGAAGAAGCACCGGCUAACUACGUG
RNAcentral lists this ribosomal RNA (465 nucleotides) under uncultured bacterium. Its description in RNAcentral is "partial 16S ribosomal RNA". It matches the Rfam family "Bacterial small subunit ribosomal RNA", at positions 28 to 507 of the family's 1533-position model. The record is from RNAcentral.